GUGGCAAUGGAGGAGUGCAGGGAGAAGAAAACUCCUGGCACUCAUUCUUUCUUGCUACAGAAUUAAAAGAUUUCUCUGCUUUUCUCCUUCUUUUCCCCUUGGGUGGUGUGUUCAGCGGUCACCCUCAGGGGAAACAGGUGUCCCCCCCCCCUGGAGGAAAUGGACUGAUCGGAACCUGGCUGUGACAUCGGCUCAGAAUCCCAGCCUCACUUUGCAGUUGAGGCCAACAGCCUUUUGGUGGUUUCUCUGCAAGUGAAUCAGGAAAAACUGUGAUUAGACGCCGAGAAAGCAAAGUCUGAAGACUGAUGUCUGCGGAAAUGUCAGCCACCGAGGAGGACAUUCCCAAUGUCAAGGAGGACGAAGGAAAAGGCGAGGAGGAGACGACCGCAAGACGGCUGGAUCUCCUCAGCCCUGACUGGGUAGGUGGCCGUGGCCUAAGUGGUGAUUGGCAGAAGGGGAGGGGGGCAUAUCAACCGCAGAAUGGAACUGUUGUUUCAGUUAUGGGUGCCUUGAGUUUUAACGUUUGGUUGCGUUUUUUAAUUGCUCGUUUUUUGCAUCUUUUCCUUGCAGGUUCCAAGUAUGUCACCAUUUUCCAGUGUUUCCUCCCUGUCCUCCCUGGAUUCCCUUUGGGACUCCCUCAAUGAGGUACGUAGCAGACAGAGCAGGAGGGAAGCCCUGCUGAGCUGCACAUGGGCAACCCUGAGGCUGGGGAGGAGGAGGAAGAGGAGGAAGAGGAGGAUGCUGGCUGGCUGACCGGCCAGGCCACCUUCUGGACGGUUGAGAGCAAGGGGGCAAACAGGCAGGGGGCUGCUAAGGGCAGACCAUGCUUGCUGCCCCACUCCUCCUGAUGGACCAGCCCCCCAUGGUGCCAGGGCUGUAGGGCUUCCCUGGCUAGCGACUCAAUGUAGGCAAGAGAGUUUCCCUUCUGGGUUCCUGUCUCAUUUUGGGAUGCUCUCUUUCUCCUCUCUCCCCACCGUCAACUCUGGGGUCCUGUCUCUGCUAGCAGUCCGCCACUGAGGAGGACAUUCCCAAUGUCAAGGAGGACGAAGGAAAAGGCGAGGAGGAGACGACCGCAAGACGGCUGGAUCUCCUCAGCCCUGACUGGGUAGGUGGCCGUGGCCUAAGUGGUGAUUGGCAGAAGGGGAGGGGGGCAUAUCAACCGCAGAAUGGAACUGUUGUUUCAGUUAUGGGUGCCUUGAGUUUUAACGUUUGGUUGCGUUUUUUAAUUGCUCGUUUUUUGCAUCUUUUCCUUGCAGGUUCCAAGCAUGUCACCAUUUUCCAGUGUUUCCUCCCUGUCCUCCCUGGAUUCCCUUUGGGACUCCCUCAAUGAGGUACGUAGCAGACAGAGCAGGAGGGAAGCCCUGCUGAGCUGGAGAACCCUGAGGCUGGGGGGGAGGAGGAGGAGGAGGAGGAAGCCGGCUGGCCGGUCAGGCCACCUUCUGGACUGGUCGUGAGCAAGGGGGCAGGCAGGCAGGCAGGCAGGGGGCUGCUAAGGGUAUGCUUGCUGCCCUACUUGUCCUGAUGGACCAGCCCCCCAUGGCGCCAGGGCUGUAGGGCUUCCCUGGCUAGCGACUCAAUGUGGGUUCCUGUCUCAUUCUGGGCUGCUCUCUUUCUCCCCUCUCCCCACCACCAAUGCCACCACCUCUGGGGUCCUGUCUCUGCUGGCAGGCAGUCUCUGAAGUGGCUAUCGAGGAGGAAGAGCCACAGGAAGUACCAGAGAGCCCCCCAGAGGAGGACGGGGAGGACAAGGAGGACAAGGAGGCCCUUUAUUCGCCGUGCCCCCCACCUGGAGAACACCUGGAGGCAAGCAUAAUCGAGGUCAGACGAAACACACAUUCAUUCAUGACAUUUGA
Molecule: long non-coding RNA, 1853 nt
Filed under: Podarcis muralis (Common wall lizard)
Lineage: Eukaryota; Metazoa; Chordata; Lepidosauria; Squamata; Lacertidae
Description: lncRNA (ENSPMRG00000004847.1)
Source: RNAcentral